GCGAUUUCUCUACAUGGUGGCAUGAGGAAGCUCAAGCUUUCGAAAAAAGAAGUUUCUGUGAGUGUCAGUAUACCAUUUGUGAUAAAGAGCAAAAAGUAGUGUCUGAUAGUGUUUGUAGUGAAUCAGGUGAGCAUGGAUCCACUGACGUCUUUAAAAGCAAGAAGAGAAAAA
Long non-coding RNA from Amphimedon queenslandica, 171 nucleotides. RefSeq lists it as uncharacterized. Lineage: Eukaryota; Metazoa; Porifera; Demospongiae; Haplosclerida; Niphatidae. The record is from RefSeq and is a predicted model, not a curated record. The transcript has 2 exons.